RNAcentral lists this ribosomal RNA (264 nucleotides) under uncultured bacterium. Its description in RNAcentral is "partial 16S ribosomal RNA". It matches the Rfam family "Bacterial small subunit ribosomal RNA", at positions 90 to 354 of the family's 1533-position model. The record is from RNAcentral.
AGUUAGUGGCGGACGGGUGAGUAACGCGUGGAUAACCUGCCGUAUACUGGGGGAUAACACUUAGAAAUAGGUGCUAAUACCGCAUAAGCGCACAGUCUCGCAUGAGACGGUGUGAAAAACUCCGGUGGUAUACGAUGGAUCCGCGUCUGAUUAGCUUGUUGGCGGGGUAACAGCCCACCAAGGCGACGAUCAGUAGGGGUUCUGAGAGGAAGGUCCCCCACAUUGGAACUGAGACACGGUCCAAACUCCUACGGAAGGCAGCAG